CCUACGGGAGGCAGCAGUGGGGAAUAUUGCACAAUGGGCGAAAGCCUGAUGCAGCAACGCCGCGUGAGCGAUGACGGCCUUCGGGUCGUAAAGCUCUGUCCUCAAGGAAGAUAAUGACGGUACUUGAGGAGGAAGCCCCGGCUAACUACGUGCCAGCAGCCGCGGUAAUACGUAGGGGGCUAGCGUUAUCCGGAAUUACUGGGCGUAAAGGGUGCGUAGGUGGUUUGUUAAGUCAGAGGUGAAAGGGUACGGCUCAACCGUAGUAAGCCUUUGAAACUGGGGGACUUGAGUGGAGGAGAGGAGAGUGGAAUUCCUAGUGUAGCGGUGAAAUGCGUAGAUAUUAGGAGGAACACCAGUUGCGAAGGCGGCUCACUGGACUGUAACUGACACUGAGGCACGAAAGCGUGGGGAGCGAACAGGAUUAGAUACCCGUGUAGUC
Molecule: ribosomal RNA, 439 nt
Filed under: uncultured bacterium
Lineage: Bacteria
Description: partial 16S ribosomal RNA
Rfam family: Bacterial small subunit ribosomal RNA
Source: RNAcentral